GAUGGGAAACAGGUUAAUAUUCCUGUACUUGGUGUUACUGCGAAGGGGGGACGGAGAAGGCUAGGCUAGCCGGGCGACGGUUGUCCCGGUUUAAGCGUGUAGGGGGUGUGACCUGGUAAAUCCGGUUACAUAUCAACCCUGAGGCGUGAUGACGAUGCACUACGGUGCAGAAGUAGUUGAUGCCCUGCUUCCAGGAAAAGCCUCUAAGCUCCAGGUAACAUUAAAUCGUACCCCAAACCGACACAGGUGGUCAGGUAGAGAAUACCAAGGCGCUUGAGAGAACUCGGGUGAAGGAACUAGGCAAAAUGGUGCCGUAACUUCGGGAGAAGGCACGCUGGCAUGUAGGUGAA
This 350-nucleotide ribosomal RNA is filed under the name Serratia marcescens. Its description in RNAcentral is "partial 23S ribosomal RNA". It matches the Rfam family "Bacterial large subunit ribosomal RNA", at positions 1417 to 1766 of the family's 2925-position model. Lineage: Bacteria; Pseudomonadati; Pseudomonadota; Gammaproteobacteria; Enterobacterales; Yersiniaceae. The record is from RNAcentral.